UUCGAUUAUAGCUCAGAUUGAACGCUGGCGGGAUGCUUUACACAUGCAAGUCGAACGGCAGCACGGACUUCGGUCUGGUGGCGAGUGGCGAACGGGUGAGAGUAAUGUAUCGGAACGUGCCCUAGUAGCGGGGGAUAACUACGCGAAAGCGCUGUACCGCAUACGCCCUUCGGGGGAAAGCGGGGACCUUCGGGCCUCGCACUAUUGGAAGCGGCCGAUAUCGGAUUAGCUAGUUGGUGGGGUAACGGCUCGCAGGCGACGAUCCGUAGCUGGUUUGAGGACGACCAGCCACACUGGGACUGAGACACGGCCCGGCCCAGACUCCUACGGGAGAGCAGCAGUGGGGAAUUUUUGGACAAUGGGGAAACCCUGAGUCAGCCAUCCCGCGUGUGCGAUGAAGGCCUUCGGGUUGUAAAGCACUUUUGGCAGGAAAGAAACGGCACGGGAUAAUACCCCGUGCAACUGACAAUACCUGCAGAAUAAGCACCGGCUAACUACGUGCCAGCAGCCGCGGUAAUACGUAGGGUGCAGAAAGCAGUCAAUCGGAAUUACUGGGCGUAAAGCGUGCGCAGGCGGUUCGGAAAGAAAGAUGUGAAAUCCCAGAGCUUAACUUUGGAACUGCAUUUUUAACUACCGAGCUAGAGUGUGUCAGAGGGAGGUGGAAUUCCGUAUAACCCGGUAAAUGCGUAGAUAUGCGGAGGGAGCUUACCGAUGGCGAAGGCAGCCUCCUGGGAUAACACUGACGCUCAUGCACAGAAAAGCGUGGGGAGCAAACCAGGAUUAGAUACCCUGGUAGUCCACGCCCUAAACGAUGUCAACUGGCUGUUGGGGCCUUCGGGCCUUGGUAGCGCAACUAACGCGUGAGAUUGACCGCCACAGGAGUACGGGCUGCAAAAUUAAGCUCAAGAAUUGGUGGGGAUGCCUCAAGCGAUGGAGUGAUGUGGUUAAUUGAUGCAACGCAAAAACCACUACCACCAGCAUAGCCCCGUAGAUCUGAAGUUUGGAGUCUCGCCGAAGAAUUGGAACACCAGGUGCUCGCAUGGCUCGUCGUCAAGCCGUGAGCGUGAGACGGGCCAAGUCCUGGGUAGCAACCAGCCGUAGUUGCUACGAAAGGCACUCUGUGCGUUCUGCGAUGAUAAACGGAGGAAGGUGAGAUGGCAAUCAGUCUCCGGCCCUUAUGGAUGGGGCUUCACACGUCAUACAAUGGUCAGGACAGAGGUCGCCAACCCGCGAGAGGUAAUCCAGAAACCCGAUCGUAGUCCAGAUCGCAGUCUGCAACUCGACUGCGUGAAGUCGGAAUCGCUAGUAAUCGCGGAUCAGCAUGUCACGGUGAAUACGUUCCAGGUCUUGUACACACCGCCCGUCACACCAUGGGAUGGGUUUACCAGAGAGUAGUUAGCCUAACCGUAAGGAGGCGAUUACCACGGUAGGAUUCAUGACUGGGGUGAAGUCGUAACAAAGUAA
RNAcentral lists this ribosomal RNA (1464 nucleotides) under uncultured Bordetella sp. Its description in RNAcentral is "partial 16S-23S ribosomal RNA intergenic spacer". It matches the Rfam family "Bacterial small subunit ribosomal RNA". The record is from RNAcentral. Lineage: Bacteria; Pseudomonadati; Pseudomonadota; Betaproteobacteria; Burkholderiales; Alcaligenaceae.